CCUACGGGUGGCAGCAGUGGGGAAUAUUGGGCAAUGGGCGCAAGCCUGACCCAGCAACGCCGCGUGAAGGAAGAAGGCUUUCGGGUUGUAAACUUCUUUUCUCAGGGACGAAGCAAGUGAUGGUACCUGAGGAAUAAGCCACGGCUAACUACGUGCCAGCAGCCGCGGUAAUACGUAGGGGGCAAGCGUUAUCCGGAUUUACUGGGUGUAAAGGGCGUGUAGGCGGGAAAGCAAGUCAGAUGUGAAAACCAUGGGCUCAACCUGUGGCCUGCAUUUGAAACUGUUUUGCUUGAGUGCUGGAGAGGCAGGCGGAAUUCCUAGUGUAGCGGUGAAAUGCGUAGAUAUUAGGAGGAACACCAGUGGCGAAGGCGGUCUGCUGGACAGCGACUGACGCUGAGGCGCGAAAGCGUGGGGAGCAAACAGGAUUAGAUACCCUAGUAGUC
This 443-nucleotide ribosomal RNA is filed under the name uncultured bacterium. Its description in RNAcentral is "partial 16S ribosomal RNA". It matches the Rfam family "Bacterial small subunit ribosomal RNA", at positions 338 to 795 of the family's 1533-position model. The record is from RNAcentral.